UUAAAACAAAAAAGGAGAAACCAACAACACAAAAAAGGAGAAACCCUUGACAAAAAAAAAUGACACAAUGACGCCGACUGCUUCGUCACUCCCUCCGUCCAGUCUUUCUAUUUGUUUGCUCGACCAAAAGCUCCGAUGAAGAAACCAUGGACUCAAAUUUCUGGAAGUCCAAAUAUUUUUAUCAAAAAAAUAUGGAACCGGACCCUAAAAAAUGGGUAAUAGUCCAACAGGUGCUUAGUACGUUUUUGUCAACAUAAUUAUUGUGAGAUUCCGAUUAAAUUAUGCUUCCCUGUUCCUUAAAAACUGUCUGUUGAUUAAAUAGAUGAUUUGAGAUGGUGCACCAUUGUUUUUCAAGUCGAGGAUUUAGGAUCUACUGUUUUACUUAAGGUUAGAGGAGAAAGAAGAAACAAGUAGGGCUGAUUUGGCGUUUUAUCAAUUGAAGCAUUAGGAAUUGUUUAUGUUUGUCGCAUCUAUGCAGAUUCAUUGUUGUGGGAAUCUUUCCUAAAGGAUAGCCUGACUUGAAUUUCAUGGAUCGGCCAUUCAGUUUGAAGAGUCCUGUAAAGCUAGCUCUAUCGCCUGACAACGACUCUUGUGGUUUGGUCUUUCAUCGGAAAGCGGUCUCAUCAUUCAAAUGAAAGUAAACUACGUACCUGCUUGUACUCUUGAAACCUAUGAUGAUCCAUCUUUUUAUUGCAUUAUUAGAGGUGGUAUUCUUUUGUUGUGUGGUACUUAUAGCUGGUUACAAAUUUGCAGCUAGUUAUCAGAAGAUAAAGUGAAAUUCAAAUGUUGUCAUGUGGAGUGAAGCUUCCUAUUUUAAUGUUUGAUUGCUUUGUGCACUGAUCUGUACUUACCGGUGUAAAAUUUGUUUAGUCAACUGAUGCUGUAAUGUCUCUUUCAUCUACUCUUUUGGUUUAUUUGUGCUGAUAUAUACCAAAAUUUUUUAUGCUACUGUAUACUUCUAAUUAUUCUUGGGAGCACAAGUUUA
Lycium ferocissimum is the source of this 985-nucleotide long non-coding RNA. RefSeq lists it as uncharacterized. The record is from RefSeq and is a predicted model, not a curated record. Lineage: Eukaryota; Viridiplantae; Streptophyta; Magnoliopsida; Solanales; Solanaceae. The transcript has 4 exons.